Molecule: ribosomal RNA, 87 nt
Filed under: fungal endophyte
Lineage: Eukaryota; Fungi
Description: 5.8S ribosomal RNA
Rfam family: 5.8S ribosomal RNA
About the family: 5.8S ribosomal RNA (5.8S rRNA) is a component of the large subunit of the eukaryotic ribosome. It is transcribed by RNA polymerase I as part of the 45S precursor that also contains 18S and 28S rRNA.
Source: RNAcentral
AAACUUUCAACAACGGAUCUCUUGGUUCUGGCAUCGAUGAAGAACGCAGCGAAAUGCGAUAAGUAAUGUGAAUUGCAGAAUUCAGUG